This 638-nucleotide ribosomal RNA is filed under the name Salmonella enterica subsp. enterica serovar Enteritidis. Its description in RNAcentral is "partial 23S ribosomal RNA". It matches the Rfam family "Bacterial large subunit ribosomal RNA", at positions 580 to 1220 of the family's 2925-position model. Lineage: Bacteria; Pseudomonadati; Pseudomonadota; Gammaproteobacteria; Enterobacterales; Enterobacteriaceae. The record is from RNAcentral.
CAGGUUUACCUGUGUGACUGCGUACCUUUUGUAUAAUGGGUCAGCGACUUAUAUUCUGUAGCAAGGUUAACCGAAUAGGGGAGCCGGAGGGAAACCGAGUCUUAAUUGGGCGUUAAGUUGCAGGGUAUAGACCCGAAACCCGGUGAUCUAGCCAUGGGCAGGUUGAAGGUUGGGUAACACUAACUGGAGGACCGAACCGACUAAUGUUGAAAAAUUAGCGGAUGACCUGUGGCUGGGGGUGAAAGGCCAAUCAAACCGGGAGAUAGCUGGUUCUCCCCGAAAGCUAUUUAGGUAGCGCCUCGUGAAUUCAUCUCCGGGGGUAGAGCACUGUUUCGGCUAGGGGGCCAUCCCGGCUUACCAACCCGAUGCAAACUGCGAAUACCGGAGAAUGUUAUCACGGGAGACACACGGCGGGUGCUAACGUCCGUCGUGAAGAGGGAAACAACCCAGACCGCCAGCUAAGGUCCCAAAGUCAUGGUUAAGUGGGAAACGAUGUGGGAAGGCCCAGACAGCCAGGAUGUUGGCUUAGAAGCAGCCAUCAUUUAAAGAAAGCGUAAUAGCUCACUGGUCGAGUCGGCCUGCGCGGAAGAUGUAACGGGGCUAAACCAUGCACCGAAGCUGCGGCAGCGACGCUUAUG